RNAcentral lists this long non-coding RNA (1243 nucleotides) under Felis catus (domestic cat). RNAcentral describes it as "lncRNA (ENSFCAG00000051839.1)". Lineage: Eukaryota; Metazoa; Chordata; Mammalia; Carnivora; Felidae. The record is from RNAcentral.
AUGAAUUACAAAAGCAGGUUCAAAAAGACCUUCAGCAGAAAUGAGGUUCUCAAUCCAAUUAGAUCUCUAGGGUUGGCUUAUAACACACUGGCUAUCACUAAAUUUCAAAAAUGGGCUUUGCCACUUUCCAGGGCCAGCCUGCAAAAUGCCUGGAGCUUUAACGACCUUCUCUGUCCAUUAAGGGAUCUGAUAGACAUGAAGUUUUAUAAGAAUCUGCGAACAUCUUUGAGAAGGAGUUACUGAACACUGUGCAAACGACAGACAGCACUAAAGUUCCCAUUAGCUACCAGAAGAAAACUCAAAGUUCAUUAACGAGUAGCUGAUUGUCUUUAUCGCACGGAGGCUUACGUCUUAACACCCAAGAAGGAAGGAGUGAAAUCUGCCUCAGUACUUCCAUGGAAUUCCUUCUCGAAGUUUGAUUCAAUUCCUGUUCAUGUGUAAGACAUAAGCCUUAUGCCAUGAAAUUCCCAUUUUAACUGGUUGUCGGCUGUAAGUUAAUAUGCAGACUUAUUUCGCUUCUCCCCCUCCACGCUUGUGCACAAUGCUUUGAAUGUUCUGUGUUUUCCUUGCCUUUGAUUGCCAAUCCAUCCCGGGCCCUCAUUUCCUCCUCUCCUGCCUUUUGGCCGGCAUAAUUUUGGAACUUAGAAAAAAAAAAUGCAUCCUCUGUCUUUUCUCAUAGGCUCCAUUUGCAUUUUAGUCGAUUUUGGACAUUUUUUCUACGAUGUAUUCAGUAUGCUUUAUUUCCUGUUUUUAUAAGCUUUAUAUAACUUCAGAAAAAUGUGAUCCAAGGCAUGUCUGGGGGAGAGGUGGCUGUUAUUUUUUUACUGUAACAUGGAAGAUAUUGACCUGCAGUGUCUACACUGGGCAUAACUGUUUGCAGAGUUGUCUUUUUUCCUUUUAAUUUUAUUUUUGAGAGAGCACGAGCCAGGGAGAGGGGCAGAGGGAGAGGGAGAGCAAGAUUUCAAGCAGGUUCCUCGUUCAGCUCAGAGUCCGACAUGGGGCUCCAUCCCAUGACUCUGGGAUCGUGACCUGAGCUGAAAUCAAGAAUCGGAGGCUCAACCGACUGAGCCACCCCUGCAGAGUUGUCUUUAGAUGACCGUGACCAGAGGUAUUUUUCAGGGUUCUUCAUCUUGGUCAGCUGGGUGCCAGGAAGGCAGCUGGUAGGACAUACAUGCAGGCAAUUAGCAUGUAUGCACUGAACACUCUAUCAUUUCCAAACCAAAAGGUGAGAUCAUUUCUGCUA